UGCCAGCCGCCGCGGUAAUACGGAGGGUCCAAGCGUUAUCCGGAUUCAUUGGGUUUAAAGGGUCCGUAGGCGGGCUUUUAAGUCAGAGGUGAAAGCCUACAGCUUAACUGUAGAAUUGCCUUUGAUACUGGAAGCCUUGAGUAUAGUUGAAGUGGGCGGAAUACGUCAUGUAGCGGUGAAAUGCAUAGAUAUGACGUAGAACACCGAUUGCGAAGGCACUUUACUGGGCUAUUACUGACACUCAGAGACGAAAGCUAGGGUAGCAAAUGGGAUUAGAUA
Molecule: ribosomal RNA, 279 nt
Filed under: uncultured bacterium
Lineage: Bacteria
Description: partial 16S ribosomal RNA
Rfam family: Bacterial small subunit ribosomal RNA
Source: RNAcentral